RNAcentral lists this ribosomal RNA (429 nucleotides) under Salmonella enterica subsp. enterica. RNAcentral's name for it is "bacterial SSU rRNA". It matches the Rfam family "Bacterial small subunit ribosomal RNA", at positions 1086 to 1515 of the family's 1533-position model. The record is from RNAcentral. RNAcentral also lists the same sequence under 3 other names. Lineage: Bacteria; Pseudomonadati; Pseudomonadota; Gammaproteobacteria; Enterobacterales; Enterobacteriaceae.
CCCGCAACGAGCGCAACCCUUAUCCUUUGUUGCCAGCGAUUAGGUCGGGAACUCAAAGGAGACUGCCAGUGAUAAACUGGAGGAAGGUGGGGAUGACGUCAAGUCAUCAUGGCCCUUACGACCAGGGCUACACACGUGCUACAAUGGCGCAUACAAAGAGAAGCGACCUCGCGAGAGCAAGCGGACCUCAUAAAGUGCGUCGUAGUCCGGAUUGGAGUCUGCAACUCGACUCCAUGAAGUCGGAAUCGCUAGUAAUCGUGGAUCAGAAUGCCACGGUGAAUACGUUCCCGGGCCUUGUACACACCGCCCGUCACACCAUGGGAGUGGGUUGCAAAAGAAGUAGGUAGCUUAACCUUCGGGAGGGCGCUUACCACUUUGUGAUUCAUGACUGGGGUGAAGUCGUAACAAGGUAACCGUAGGGGAACCUGC